UAUUGAACAACGCAAAAAACCACGUCUAUGCUCCCCUGAUACAUGCCUGGUGCGAGGUGACAAUUCUGUUGUUGCCCAAGACCUACCUGGAUUGCGGGAGACACAAGACGGAGAAGAAAGCGAACAAUCUUGGGUGCGGUGCUUCUCGGCCACUGGCCACAUGAGGAGGAUCGCAAUGAUUGAACGUACAU
Molecule: small RNA, 191 nt
Filed under: Akanthomyces lecanii RCEF 1005
Lineage: Eukaryota; Fungi; Ascomycota; Sordariomycetes; Hypocreales; Cordycipitaceae
Description: Cordyceps confragosa RCEF 1005 A. fumigatus sRNA Afu_182
Rfam family: A. fumigatus sRNA Afu_182
Source: Rfam by way of RNAcentral